Gallus gallus (chicken) is the source of this 2699-nucleotide long non-coding RNA. Lineage: Eukaryota; Metazoa; Chordata; Aves; Galliformes; Phasianidae. The record is from Ensembl.
CUGAACUAUGGAUAAUAAAACCUGGGUUCUGCUUUGGCCACAUCUCAGUCUGAUGAUGUAGGCCUAUCCCACGCCAACUAUCUUCCAUCCUGUGUUUUUUGUGGUAAGGAAAAUUGUAUCAGUGUGUACUCUGAAGAAGAGUACUCCAGCAAGUAUUUCAUCUUUUGCCUUAGUGCAGGCUACAAGCCAAAACCUGUGUGGUUUAUGUUCAGCAAUGGAAUUUUGGAUGUACUUCAUCUGUGUCUUUUUCUGCCCUGGGCUAGAUGGGAGCCUCUACAGGAUCUAUAAAAAGAGAUUUUUGAAAACCCUCUGCUUUAAAGCUGAAAUGUCGUUCACUCAAAUUUGUAUUCGAAUGAUGGAAGGAAUGUACCUCAAGAGCUGACCUGCUGGAGGUGGUACAGGAAGGAGCAUAGCUGGAACAUAAGUGGAACUGUUUUUCAAGCAACAGAAAAUAUCUGUCAUGUAGAUAGCAGGGAUGGAAAUAGUUGGAAACUACAGAAGAAUCUGUGCUGAACACAGCUCCAUGGAGGCUACCUGCAAAAUUAGCAUGCUAACUGCGACAACAGUGAGAUGUGGAGUUGGAUUUGUUAUUACCUUAUUUGGGAGAAGGCAUAGAGAAACAACACUCUCAAUAGCAUGUAACUGUUUCGAAAGGGAAUGUGUGUGUUUGGGGAGAUGUAGGUAGCUAGGUAGUGGUAACAGAAUUUAGCUUUCCUAAAAAUACCGUCAAGGGGCCUACCAGAGUAAGGUAGUAGUUUCAACAAACUACAAGAAGUAGAAGAGUGGGGUGAUAGAGGCAGCCUGGAAUACAAGAUAGUCAAGAUCAUACUACAGUUGUAUUUCUUAAACAAUACGCUUAUAUUAAUUAUAUGAAUUUGACAAAAGCAAAGAGCUGCUACCUGUACCUGGAUACAGAUGGAUUAUUGCUAAAACUUGAGUACAUAACCAGAUAGGUACUGACAGUUCACUGAGUUUGCCUUCACUUCCUCUGACUCUCCAUUUAUGAGAAGGAAAAUAACUUCUGAACAAUAGUGAACUAUCUAUAUAAUAGCCUGUUUUUUACUGAUUUCCUAGUACAGAUCUGGAUCUUGAAAUAUUUUCUUGCCAUCAGACCACAGCAGCUUUAAACUGCCUCCUGGUCCUUGGUGGUAUAUGCUGUCCAACCUUUACUUACUGUUCUUUUGAAAGCUGGGGCCAGUAGAUGCUGGGUAAAAGGCAGGUUAUCAUGGAUGCUACAGUGCUAAGACUAUCUCAGGUACUCCCUGACGAAAUCCUGGUAUGCAGGGCAGAGCACUCAUCAGAUGCUGUGAUAAUUUAGCUUUCAUUGAUGGAUGUCAGAGUGCAUCUGGACUUAUCAUGUGGUACUCUCUGUAUAAUAAGAUACAUUUGUUAUCAGGGUCAUACUCCACUAUUUUACUGGAAAAGUGAUUUUUUAUUUAUUUUCCUGGGGAAAAAAAAAAACAAAAAACAAAAAAACAAACUUUGAGUAAUCUUAGCAUACAAAAGAGAAUGUCAUUUGAUAUUUUUACUUAUUCAUUGCAUGUUACAAAUCUUAUGAUUUAUUUUGUUCAUUUGCUUUUGUCUUUCAUUCCAUUUGAUCCAACAUAGAAAAAGAUGGAAAAAAAGACACGAAUAAAUCAUUUCUAUAUACUCUGAUGGACUUGUAUAACUGCAAAUGAACAGAUUAUGGGAAAAGACAUGACAUAGUAGAAGGAAAUAUUUUACUUGGCUAAGAGCUUUCUGUAGUGAGUUUGGUAGUUUGGAAGUGUACAUACUAUAAUGGAUCCUGUCAAAGGUUGGUAGCUACCAGAGAUGACAAAUUGAACGUGGAUAUAAACACAUAUUCUUUCAAUGUCCAAAAAUUUUUGUACAGUUUGCUUAUUCUGGCUAUAGUUCUGUGGAACAGUUCAUUAAUAUGCAGUACUCUAAUAUUUCCAAAGAGUGGAAUGUCAAGGUAAAAUUUUGAUCUGCAAGGACUCCCCUGUGGCACUUGAAAGAAUGUGUAACUUCAUAAAUUUUGGGUAGCAACGAGUGUUGGUAAAGUUCUAGGGUAUAAACUUCAUUGUAUAUUAUUUAAGACUGCUUUUAUGAAUACAGAAAUAAAAUAAUUCAGUGUUUUUUUUUUACUUUCUGCCACUUUUUAAAAUCUUUUCAUAGGAAAGAGAAAAGGUGAUUGCAUAUGCACCUACAUGGAUAACAAUGAAGGGGAAGUGUGGUCCUGUCAGAAUAAAUUUUGAGUUAUUUUAUCAUUACUGCAAACAGAAGUGCCUGUCUUAAAGCAUAUAUAUAUAGACCGAAGUGCAAGGACUUUCAUUUUUAAAUAACAGAGCAUGAUUCUUAUCCUUUUAUUUACAAUCAAUAGUAUCCCCUCUAUGCUUACAGUACUUAAACCUCAGACAAUAAAGGCUGCUAGAGCACACACAGACAAGAGUACAAGAAGUCCUGGUUUAUGUAAGGUGAAAAUUGUGCACCUCUGCAGAGCAAGGAAGGCUUAUUUCAUGCUGUGCCACUACACCACCAAGAGAAAAUAUUCUUCCUGGAGAUGAGCAUAAAUACUAACACAUGCUGUGUGACUAUUGAAUGACUUGAAAAAUCCUUUUGCCUUAUUGAAGCACUUUGGUUGAAGUCAACAGGGUUGCACUGAAGUGAGAGAGUACUUUUACAUAUGACAUUCCUUUUGCCAUGCAUUGUGCUUACCA